GUGUUGAAGUUUUUAAGGGCGCACGGUGGAUGCCUUGGCAUCAAGAGCCGAUGAAGGACGUGGGAAUCUGCGAUAAGCCUGGUGGAGUCGAUAACCGGACGUUGAGACCAGGAUUUCCGAAUGGGGGAACCCCGCACCAUGUUAUGUGGUGUGACCUGCAGCUGAAUGUAUAGGCUGUGUGGAGGGAACGCGGGGAAGUGAAACAUCUCAGUACCCGCAGGAAGAGAAAACAACAGUGAUUCCGUUAGUAGUGGCGAGCGAACGCGGAUGGGGCUAAACCGGUUGGUGUGUGAUAGCGGAUAGGCGUUGCAUCACCGGGGUUGUGGGGUCGGCAUGUACCAGCGCUAUCUUGCUGGUGGGAUGAGGUGCAGGCGUAUAGGUGAAUCGGUUGGAAUGCCGGACCAUAGAGGGUGAUAGUCCCGUAGGUGUAAUGCGUGUCUGCCGUUCUAGUGUUGAUACCCGAGUAGCACGGGGCCCGUGAAACCUUGUGUGAAUCUGCCAGGACCACCUGGUAAGCCUGAAUACUACUUGAUGACCGAUAGUGAAUCAGUACCGUGAGGGAAUGGUGAAAAGUACCCCGGGAGGGGAGUGAAAUAGUACCUGAAACCGUGCGCUUACAAUCCGUUAGAGCUGGGGACUUGUUCCCUGGUGAUGGCGUGCCUUUUGAAGAAUGAGCCUGCGAGUUAGUGUUACGUCGCGAGGUUAACCCGUGUGGGGAAGCCGUAGCGAAAGCGAGUCUGAAUAGGGCGUUUGAGUGGCGUGAUCUAGACCCGAAGCGAAGUGAUCUACCCAUGGCCAGGUUGAAGCGCGUGUAAGAGCGUGUGGAGGACCGAACCCACUUCAGUUGAAAAUGGAGGGGAUGAGCUGUGGGUAGGGGUGAAAGGCCAAUCAAACUUCGUGAUAGCUGGUUCUCCCCGAAAUGCAUUUAGGUGCAGCGUUGCGUGUUUCUUGCUGGAGGUAGAGCUACUGGAUAGGCGAUGGGCCCUACAAGGUUACUGACCUUAGCCAAACUCCGAAUGCCGGCAAGUGAGAGCGCAGCAGUGAGACUGUGGGGGAUAAGCUUCAUAGUCGAGAGGGAAACAGCCCAGAACGCCAACUAAGGCCCCUAAGCGUGUGCUAAGUGGAAAAGGAUGUGGAGUUGCUGUGACAACCAGGAGGUUGGCUUAGAAGCAGCCACCCUUGAAAGAGUGCGUAAUAGCUCACUGGUCAAGUGAUUCCGCGCCGAUAAUGUAGCGGGGCUCAAGCACACCGCCGAAGUUGCGUCAUUCAAAUAUUAACCUGGUUUCGAUUGGGUGUUUGGAUGGGUAGGGGAGCGUCGUGUGGACGGUGAAGUCGCGGUGUAAACCAGCGGUGGAGGCCACACGAGUGAGAAUGCAGGCAUGAGUAGCGAAUGACGGGUGAGAAACCCGUCCGCCGAAUGAUCAAGGGUUCCAGGGUUAAGCUAAUCUGCCCUGGGUUAGUCGGGACCUAAGGCGAGGCCGACAGGCGUAGUCGAUGGACAACGGGUUGAUAUUCCCGUACCGGCGAAGGACCGCCCAUACUGAGCUGUGGAUGCUAACCAUGAUUGACGCUAGCUGUUGGUGCCUUCGGGUAUCUUGCUGGUUGAUGUGGUGGGAACCGAUGCAGUGAGGUCAGCGUAUUAACAGGUGUGACGCAGGAAGGUAGCCGAGCCAGGCAAUGGAAUUGACCUGGUCCAAGGGUGUAGGAAGAGUGGUUGGCAAAUCCGCCGCUCAUAUAUUCUGAGACCUGAUAGGCGCCCCGUUUUCGGGGUGAUUCGGUGAUCCUAUGCUGCCUAGAAAAGCAUCGGCGCGAGGUCCAAGUCCGCCCGUACCCCAAACCGACACAGGUGAUCAGGUAGAGAAUACUAAGGCGAUCGAGAGAAUCAUGGUUAAGGAACUCGGCAAAAUGCCCCCGUAACUUCGGAAGAAGGGGGGCCUGCCCCGUGAUGAGAACUUGCUUCUCUGAUGCGGGUGUGGGCCGCAGAGACCAGGGGGAAGCGACUGUUUACUAAAAACACAGGUCCGUGCGAAGUCGCAAGACGAUGUAUACGGACUGACUCCUGCCCGGUGCUGGAAGGUUAAGAGGACUGGUUAGCAGUAAUGCGAAGCUGAGAAUUUAAGCCCCAGUAAACGGCGGUGGUAACUAUAACCAUCCUAAGGUAGCGAAAUUCCUUGUCGGGUAAGUUCCGACCUGCACGAAUGGAGUAACGACUUCCCCGCUGUCUCAACCAUGAACUCGGCGAAAUUGCAGUACGAGUAAAGAUGCUCGUUACGCGCAGCAGGACGGA
Molecule: ribosomal RNA, 2287 nt
Filed under: Arthrobacter sp. MYb214
Lineage: Bacteria; Bacillati; Actinomycetota; Actinomycetes; Micrococcales; Micrococcaceae
Description: bacterial LSU rRNA
Rfam family: Bacterial large subunit ribosomal RNA
Source: RNAcentral